CUACGGGUUGCACCAGUGAGGAAUAUUGCGCAAUGGGGGAAACCCUGACGCAGCGACGCCGCGUGGAUGAUGAAGGCCUUCGGGUCGUAAAAUCCUGUCAGAAGGAAAGAAGUGUAUGGUAGCUAAUAUCUGCCAUACUUGACGGUACCUUCAAAGGAAGCACCGGCUAACUCCGUGCCAGCAGCCGCGGUAAUACGGAGGGUGCAAGCGUUGUUCGGAAUUACUGGGCGUAAAGCGCGCGUAGGCGGUUUUAUAAGUCAGAUGUGAAAGUCCACGGCUCAACCAGGGAAGUGCAUUUGAAACUGUAAGACUUGAGUAUUGGAGGGGGUAGUGGAAUUCCCGGUGUAGAGGUGAAAUUCGUAGAUAUCGGGAGGAAUACCGGUGGCGAAGGCGACUAUCUGGCCAAAUACUGACGCUGAGGUGCGAAAGCGUGGGGAGCAAACAGGAUUAGAUACCCGGGUAGUC
This 465-nucleotide ribosomal RNA is filed under the name uncultured bacterium. Its description in RNAcentral is "partial 16S ribosomal RNA". It matches the Rfam family "Bacterial small subunit ribosomal RNA", at positions 339 to 795 of the family's 1533-position model. The record is from RNAcentral.